GCUGGGCAUGGCAGCAUGUGCCUGUAAUCCUAGCUACUUGGGAAGCUGAGGCAGGAGGAUCGCUUGAGCCCAGGAGUUUGAGUGCAGCCUGGGCAACAUAGUGAGACCCUGUCUUUA
Molecule: unclassified non-coding RNA, 117 nt
Organism: Pongo abelii (Sumatran orangutan)
Lineage: Eukaryota; Metazoa; Chordata; Mammalia; Primates; Hominidae
Rfam family: Metazoan signal recognition particle RNA
About the family: The signal recognition particle (SRP) is a universally conserved ribonucleoprotein. It is involved in the co-translational targeting of proteins to membranes. The eukaryotic SRP consists of a 300-nucleotide 7S RNA and six proteins: SRPs 72, 68, 54, 19, 14, and 9.
Source: Ensembl